UACGGAGGAUGCGAGCGUUUUCCGGAUUUAUUGGGUUUAAAGGGUGCGUAGGCGGACGCUUAAGUCAGCGGUAAAAUUGCGGGGCUCAACCUCGUCGAGCCGUUGAAACUGGGUGCCUUGAGUGGGCGAGAAGUACGCGGAAUGCGUGGUGUAGCGGUGAAAUGCAUAGAUAUCACGCAGAACUCCGAUUGCGAAGGCAGCGUACCGGCGCCCAACUGACGCUGAAGCACGAAGGCGUGGGUAUCGAACAGG
Molecule: ribosomal RNA, 252 nt
Filed under: uncultured bacterium
Lineage: Bacteria
Description: partial 16S ribosomal RNA
Rfam family: Bacterial small subunit ribosomal RNA
Source: RNAcentral